UUGAUCCUGGCUCAGGACGAACGCUGGCGGCACGCUUAACACAUGCAAGUCGAACGAGAGAAGAGAAGCUUGCUUUUCUGAUCUAGUGGCGGACGGGUGAGUAACACGUGAGCAAUCUGCCUUUCAGAGGGGGAUACCGAUUGGAAACGAUCGUUAAUACCGCAUAACAUAAUUGAACCGCAUGAUUUGAUUAUCAAAGAUUUAUCGCUGAAAGAUGAGCUCGCGUCUGAUUAGCUAGUUGGUAAGGUAACGGCUUACCAAGGCGACGAUCAGUAGCCGGACUGAGAGGUUGAUCGGCCACAUUGGGACUGAGACACGGCCCAGACUCCUACGGGAGGCAGCAGUGGGGAAUAUUGCACAAUGGAGGAAACUCUGAUGCAGCGAUGCCGCGUGAGGGAAGAAGGUUUUAGGAUUGUAAACCUCUGUCUUCAGGGACGAAAAAAGACGGUACCUGAGGAGGAAGCUCCGGCUAACUACGUGCCAGCAGCCGCGGUAAUACGUAGGGAGCGAGCGUUGUCCGGAAUUACUGGGUGUAAAGGGAGCGUAGGCGGGAUCGCAAGUCAGAUGUGAAAACUAUGGGCUUAACCCAUAAACUGCAUUUGAAACUGUGGUUCUUGAGUGAAGUAGAGGUAAGCGGAAUUCCUAGUGUAGCGGUGAAAUGCGUAGAUAUUAGGAGGAACAUCAGUGGCGAAGGCGGCUUACUGGGCUUUAACUGACGCUGAGGCUCGAAAGCGUGGGGAGCAAACAGGAUUAGAUACCCUGGUAGUCCACGCCGUAAACGAUGAUUACUAGGUGUGGGGGGACUGACCCCUUCCGUGCCGCAGCAAACGCAAUAAGUAAUCCACCUGGGGAGUACGACCGCAAGGUUGAAACUCAAAGGAAUUGACGGGGGCCCGCACAAGCAGUGGAGUAUGUGGAUUAAUUCGAAGCAACGCGAAGAACCUUACCAGGUCUUGACAUCGUAUGCAUAGCUCAGAGAUGAGUGAAAUCUCUUCGGAGACAUAUAGACAGGUGGUGCAUGGUUGUCGUCAGCUCGUGUCGUGAGAUGUUGGGUUAAGUCCCGCAACGAGCGCAACCCUUACUGUUAGUUGCUACGCAAGAGCACUCUAGCAGGACUGCCGUUGACAAAACGGAGGAAGGUGGGGAUGACGUCAAAUCAUCAUGCCCCUUAUGACCUGGGCCUCACACGUACUACAAUGGCUGUUAACAGAGGGAUGCAAAGCCGCGAGGUGGAGCGAACCCCUAAAAGCAGUCUUAGUUCGGAUUGUAGGCUGCAACCCGCCUACAUGAAGUCGGAAUUGCUAGUAAUCGCAGAUCAGCAUGCUGCGGUGAAUACGUUCCCGGGCCU
This 1348-nucleotide ribosomal RNA is filed under the name uncultured bacterium. RNAcentral's name for it is "bacterial SSU rRNA". It matches the Rfam family "Bacterial small subunit ribosomal RNA", at positions 13 to 1381 of the family's 1533-position model. The record is from RNAcentral.